RNAcentral lists this ribosomal RNA (253 nucleotides) under uncultured bacterium. RNAcentral's name for it is "partial 16S ribosomal RNA". It matches the Rfam family "Bacterial small subunit ribosomal RNA", at positions 524 to 776 of the family's 1533-position model. The record is from RNAcentral.
UACGUAGGGGGCAAGCGUUGUCCGGAUUUACUGGGCGUAAAGCGCGUGUAGGCGGCCACGCAGGUCCGUUGUGAAAACUCGAGGCUCAACCUCGAGAUGUCGGCGGAAACCACUUGGCUAGAGUCCGGAAGAGGAGAGUGGAGUUCCCGGUGUAGCGGUGAAAUGCGCAGAUAUCGGGAAGAACACCUAUGGCGAAGGCAGCUCUCUGGGACGGUACUGACGCUGAGACGCGAAAGCGUGGGGAGCGAACAGG